AUCUUCUUCCUGCCCUCGCCGUGGCGGGCGACGGUUUCUCGCGCCGUGGCUGGCUCGGCCGGCCGGGGCACCGCGCCGGGCUCCAUGCAGCCGGGCUGCGCGGUCCCGCAGAGCGGGCGCCUCCGGGGCUCGAGUCGGGGACCCGGCAGGAGCGGGCCGGGGAUGGCGGCGGCGGGCGGCGGGUCGGCCGUGGAGCCCCGGAGAGGCGGCCGCCACCACCGCUGCCCGCAGUCUGCGAGGUGUCCGGCGGUCCGCUCAGGGCCUCUUUUGCAGACUCGGUGCCCGGAGUGCGCCGGCGCCGCCCGCCAGGUCUUGGCACUGCUGGCGCGGCCGCGGCGGCGGGGGCCCGGCUCCAGAUCACCGACCCCCACGAGCGCCGGCCCUGCCUGCCCGCUAUUUUGGUUCCAUCUCUUCUGCAUAUUUAUGCUUGCCUGUUACAUUCCCUGGCCUCUGAGUGUCCUUUGGCAGUUUCCAAAGCAUUUGGGCAAGAAGGAGCUUGGGCAGCUUCACAACAGGUUUAUUGGGCACUUCCUAGCACCAGGCACUGCAAUAAGAAAUGGAGGUUAAACCAUGAAGAAACAUGGCUCUAGCCCUUAGGGAGCUCCCGGUCCUGCAGUCAAAACUUCUUUGAGACGAUGCUGUCGGCCUUGGCCAAUCGGAGAAUCGAAUCAUCUGACUCACCCAUCCUAUCGCCCCGCAGAUAGCAUAAGUUUUAAACUGGCCAUUAAACCUGCCCGUGACCUUGUCAGCCUCGGCCACGUUCAUCUGGAUGGAUGCGUGGUCCUUGGCACCGAUGAUGCGGUUGCUAGCGGAGCAUUUCCGCGGAACUUACAGGUCCACGAACUCGCCGGCGUUGUUCUGCAUUUCGAGGCUCCGCCUGCUGCCACCACACCGCGCACGCGAGAGAAAGCCGAGGGUUUGUCCUCUUAUGCCAAGUUAGGGCAGCCCUCAAAGCAGAUCUCGAAGGGAAGACGUCUACCGAGAGCGGAUUUUGAUGUAUCACUCCAUGAGACUGGUGCCUUUCUCUAGCCUGGAGAAUUCCAAGGGUGCAAAGCUGGCUGAAGCUAUUUGAGACGGCUGGUGAGGAUUUGGGCCAGCAGAGGGGUAAGCGUUCAGGACUCGCAGAGUUUGAAUGAGCAAGCAUGUCUGAGUGGACCCCAUGGAAAGCAUUCAGGCUUUAGUUGUCUUAAAACGGCCAUACCCAGAGCAAGUGUAAAGGCAGUUGUGGAAAAUAAUAUAAACCAGUUACAAUAGCAUUCUUGGAGUGCUUACCCAGGUACUAGGGAUUAUUUUAUUAAUCCUCACAACCACCCUAAAAAAGCAUUACUUUCAUUCCCAUUUUUCAGAUGAGAAAACGGAGGAGUGAGGUCGUUAUUUUCUCAAGAUCAUAGAAUUAGCAUGGUUCAUAACUGGUAUUUAAAUAGCAGAUCCUUGUAUGUAUUAGCUUGGUGUUGAUCCCAUCUAUCUGUGGUUGGUUCCCAGAUUUACUACCUCCAGCUUUGGUUUCAUUCCCUCCUGAACUCAAGACCUGUAUAUCCAACUGCUUACUUGAUAUUUCCAUUUGGGUAUGUCAUAGCCAGUGGAAAACACUGGGUAAUUUAUGAGGAUAAGAGGUUUAGUUGACCCACAGGUCCACAGGCUGUACAGGAAGCAUGGCUGGGAGACCUCAGGAAACUUAAAAUCAUGGCAGAAGGUGAAGGGGAAGCACUUGCUCUCCUCUCUGCCUAGAGGGCUAGAGGAAAGUUCCUGAUUGCAACUUACCGCUACCUUGCUCUUCCCUAUCUUGGUUGCUUGAGUCACGUCUCCUUUCCCUUACCUUCUCCCUUUGUCUGACAUACCCAGUUGCUGUAGAACUUGAAUCCAUUGACUUCUCUCCAUUUCCACUGUCAUUUUAUGAGUGCAACCCACAUCACCCCACUGCUUUUAUUCUUCCCUCUCAGCCCACUCUCCACAGUAGAGAGAGAAUUAUUUUCAUCUCCCUUUACUGGCUUGUCAUUUAUCUGGGAAUAAAAUCCAAACUGCACCACGGAGCCUUGGAAGGCCUGGCUGCUCCUCCCCUCGCAGUUCUCCAUGGCUCACUGGACUUUAGCAGCUCUGGCCUCCCUUCUGUUCCCUAGGAACCUUGGCCUUUGCACUUGUUCUCCUCUCUGCCUAGAGGGCUCUUUUUCUCAUCUCUUUGCAUAGCUGGGUCAUCCUCAUCCUUUAGGUCUCAACUGAAAGGUCACCUUCUCACUGCUACUCCCAGCUACUCAUUCUCUUUCCCAUGUUUAUCUUUGUCAUAGUCCUUCAAACAAUUGGUAAUUAAUUUGCUUAUUUUAAAAAACUUGUUUGUUAGAUGUGUUUAUCCUGUUUCCUCCUCCCAACUAUGAUCUAAGCUCUCUGAGAAGGGGCCUCACUUACCUUCAUGUUCAUCACUGUAGUGCCACAAUCUAGCAAAUUGCCUGGCAUAUGGAGGUGCUCAGCAAAUACCUGUUAAAUAAAUGAAUGAAUUUUUUU
RNAcentral lists this long non-coding RNA (2496 nucleotides) under Homo sapiens (human). RNAcentral's name for it is "non-protein coding TAPT1-AS1:3". The record is from RNAcentral. Lineage: Eukaryota; Metazoa; Chordata; Mammalia; Primates; Hominidae.